Molecule: ribosomal RNA, 468 nt
Filed under: uncultured bacterium
Lineage: Bacteria
Description: partial 16S ribosomal RNA
Rfam family: Bacterial small subunit ribosomal RNA
Source: RNAcentral
GACGAACGCUGGCGGCGUGCUUAACACAUGCAAGUCGAACGGAAAGGCCCUGCUUUUGUGGGGUGCUCGAGUGGCGAACGGGUGAGUAACACGUGAGUAACCUGCCCUUGACUUUGGGAUAACUUCAGGAAACUGGGGCUAAUACCGGAUAGGAGCUCCUGCUGCAUGGUGGGGGUUGGAAAGUUUCGGCGGUUGGGGAUGGACUCGCGGCUUAUCAGCUUGUGGGUUGGGUAGUGGCUUACCAAGGCUUUGACGGGUAGCCGGCCUGAGAGGGUGACCGGCCACAUUGGGACUGUGAUACGGCCCAGAGUCCUACGGGAGGCAGGAGUGGGGAAUAUUGCACAAUGGGCGGAAGCCUGAUGCAGCAACGCCGCGUGCGGGAUGACGGCCUUCGGGUUGUAAACCGCUUUCGCCUGUGCCGAAGCGUGAGUGACGGUAAUGGGUAAAGAAGCACCGGCUAACUACGUG